This 465-nucleotide ribosomal RNA is filed under the name uncultured bacterium. RNAcentral describes it as "partial 16S ribosomal RNA". It matches the Rfam family "Bacterial small subunit ribosomal RNA", at positions 28 to 507 of the family's 1533-position model. The record is from RNAcentral.
GACGAACGCUGGCGGCGUGCUUAACACAUGCAAGUCGAACGGAAAGGCCCCUUUGGGGGUACUCGAGUGGCGAACGGGGGAAUAACACGGGAGUAACCUGCCCUUGACUUCGGGAUAACUUCAGGAAACUGGGGCUAAUACCGGAUAGGAAUCCUUGCUGCAUGGUGGGGGUUGGAAAGCUUCGGCGGGUUUGGAUGGACUCGCGGCUUAUCAGCUUGUUGGUGGGGUAGUGGCUUACCAAGGCUGUGACGGGAAGCCGGCCUGAGAGGGCGACCGGCCACACUAGGACUGAGAGACGGCCCAGACUCCUACGGGAGGCAGCAGUGGGGAAUAUUGCACGAUGGACGGACGCCUGAUGCAGCAGCGCCGCGGGCGGGAUGACGGCCUUCGUGUUGUAGACCGCUUUCAGCAGGAACGAGGCUUGUGGUGACGGUACCUGCAGAAGAAGCACCGGCUAACUACGUG